RNAcentral lists this ribosomal RNA (2922 nucleotides) under Escherichia coli B7A. RNAcentral describes it as "bacterial LSU rRNA". It matches the Rfam family "Bacterial large subunit ribosomal RNA". The record is from RNAcentral. Lineage: Bacteria; Pseudomonadati; Pseudomonadota; Gammaproteobacteria; Enterobacterales; Enterobacteriaceae.
GGUUAAGCGACUAAGCGUACACGGUGGAUGCCCUGGCAGUCAGAGGCGAUGAAGGACGUGCUAAUCUGCGAUAAGCGUCGGUAAGGUGAUAUGAACCGUUAUAACCGGCGAUUUCCGAAUGGGGAAACCCAGUGUGUUUCGACACACUAUCAUUAACUGAAUCCAUAGGUUAAUGAGGCGAACCGGGGGAACUGAAACAUCUAAGUACCCCGAGGAAAAGAAAUCAACCGAGAUUCCCCCAGUAGCGGCGAGCGAACGGGGAGCAGCCCAGAGCCUGAAUCAGUGUGUGUGUUAGUGGAAGCGUCUGGAAAGGCGCGCGAUACAGGGUGACAGCCCCGUACACAAAAAUGCACAUGCUGUGAGCUCGAUGAGUAGGGCGGGACACGUGGUAUCCUGUCUGAAUAUGGGGGGACCAUCCUCCAAGGCUAAAUACUCCUGACUGACCGAUAGUGAACCAGUACCGUGAGGGAAAGGCGAAAAGAACCCCGGCGAGGGGAGUGAAAAAGAACCUGAAACCGUGUACGUACAAGCAGUGGGAGCACGCUUAGGCGUGUGACUGCGUACCUUUUGUAUAAUGGGUCAGCGACUUAUAUUCUGUAGCAAGGUUAACCGAAUAGGGGAGCCGAAGGGAAACCGAGUCUUAACUGGGCGUUAAGUUGCAGGGUAUAGACCCGAAACCCGGUGAUCUAGCCAUGGGCAGGUUGAAGGUUGGGUAACACUAACUGGAGGACCGAACCGACUAAUGUUGAAAAAUUAGCGGAUGACUUGUGGCUGGGGGUGAAAGGCCAAUCAAACCGGGAGAUAGCUGGUUCUCCCCGAAAGCUAUUUAGGUAGCGCCUCGUGAAUUCAUCUCCGGGGGUAGAGCACUGUUUCGGCAAGGGGGUCAUCCCGACUUACCAACCCGAUGCAAACUGCGAAUACCGGAGAAUGUUAUCACGGGAGACACACGGCGGGUGCUAACGUCCGUCGUGAAGAGGGAAACAACCCAGACCGCCAGCUAAGGUCCCAAAGUCAUGGUUAAGUGGGAAACGAUGUGGGAAGGCCCAGACAGCCAGGAUGUUGGCUUAGAAGCAGCCAUCAUUUAAAGAAAGCGUAAUAGCUCACUGGUCGAGUCGGCCUGCGCGGAAGAUGUAACGGGGCUAAACCAUGCACCGAAGCUGCGGCAGCGACACUAUGUGUUGUUGGGUAGGGGAGCGUUCUGUAAGCCUGCGAAGGUGUGCUGUGAGGCAUGCUGGAGGUAUCAGAAGUGCGAAUGCUGACAUAAGUAACGAUAAAGCGGGUGAAAAGCCCGCUCGCCGGAAGACCAAGGGUUCCUGUCCAACGUUAAUCGGGGCAGGGUGAGUCGACCCCUAAGGCGAGGCCGAAAGGCGUAGUCGAUGGGAAACAGGUUAAUAUUCCUGUACUUGGUGUUACUGCGAAGGGGGGACGGAGAAGGCUAUGUUGGCCGGGCGACGGUUGUCCCGGUUUAAGCGUGUAGGCUGGUUUUCCAGGCAAAUCCGGAAAAUCAAGGCUGAGGCGUGAUGACGAGGCACUACGGUGCUGAAGCAACAAAUGCCCUGCUUCCAGGAAAAGCCUCUAAGCAUCAGGUAACAUCAAAUCGUACCCCAAACCGACACAGGUGGUCAGGUAGAGAAUACCAAGGCGCUUGAGAGAACUCGGGUGAAGGAACUAGGCAAAAUGGUGCCGUAACUUCGGGAGAAGGCACGCUGAUAUGUAGGUGAAGUCCCUCGCGGUGGAGCUGAAAUCAGUCGAAGAUACCAGCUGGCUGCAACUGUUUAUUAAAAACACAGCACUGUGCAAACACGAAAGUGGACGUAUACGGUGUGACGCCUGCCCGGUGCCGGAAGGUUAAUUGAUGGGGUUAGCGCAAGCGAAGCUCUUGAUCGAAGCCCCGGUAAACGGCGGCCGUAACUAUAACGGUCCUAAGGUAGCGAAAUUCCUUGUCGGGUAAGUUCCGACCUGCACGAAUGGCGUAAUGAUGGCCAGGCUGUCUCCACCCGAGACUCAGUGAAAUUGAACUCGCUGUGAAGAUGCAGUGUACCCGCGGCAAGACGGAAAGACCCCGUGAACCUUUACUAUAGCUUGACACUGAACAUUGAGCCUUGAUGUGUAGGAUAGGUGGGAGGCUUUGAAGUGUGGACGCCAGUCUGCAUGGAGCCGACCUUGAAAUACCACCCUUUAAUGUUUGAUGUUCUAACGUGGACCCGUAAUCCGGGUUGCGGACAGUGUCUGGUGGGUAGUUUGACUGGGGCGGUCUCCUCCUAAAGAGUAACGGAGGAGCACGAAGGUUGGCUAAUCCUGGUCGGACAUCAGGAGGUUAGUGCAAUGGCAUAAGCCAGCUUGACUGCGAGCGUGACGGCGCGAGCAGGUGCGAAAGCAGGUCAUAGUGAUCCGGUGGUUCUGAAUGGAAGGGCCAUCGCUCAACGGAUAAAAGGUACUCCGGGGAUAACAGGCUGAUACCGCCCAAGAGUUCAUAUCGACGGCGGUGUUUGGCACCUCGAUGUCGGCUCAUCACAUCCUGGGGCUGAAGUAGGUCCCAAGGGUAUGGCUGUUCGCCAUUUAAAGUGGUACGCGAGCUGGGUUUAGAACGUCGUGAGACAGUUCGGUCCCUAUCUGCCGUGGGCGCUGGAGAACUGAGGGGGGCUGCUCCUAGUACGAGAGGACCGGAGUGGACGCAUCACUGGUGUUCGGGUUGUCAUGCCAAUGGCACUGCCCGGUAGCUAAAUGCGGAAGAGAUAAGUGCUGAAAGCAUCUAAGCACGAAACUUGCCCCGAGAUGAGUUCUCCCUGACUCCUUGAGAGUCCUGAAGGAACGUUGAAGACGACGACGUUGAUAGGCCGGGUGUGUAAGCGCAGCGAUGCGUUGAGCUAACCGGUACUAAUGAACCGUGAGGCUUAACCUUACAACGCCGAAGCUGUUUUG